Non-coding RNA from Gasterosteus aculeatus aculeatus (three-spined stickleback), 572 nucleotides. NCBI's taxonomy places the organism in Eukaryota, Metazoa, Chordata, Actinopteri, Perciformes, Gasterosteidae. The record is from RefSeq and is a predicted model, not a curated record.
CGGGGGGCCCGUGCUGGCUCUCGUCCAGUCUUAUCAUAUGACGUACAAGCAACCGGGCCGUCUGCUUGCGGCUUGCGAAGGAGAAGUGCACGAGCAGCCUUGAAAUUGGGAUCAAAUCCAGGCCUCCCGUCGGAGGAGAAAGGACCAUUCUCCACUUCUCCAUCUAGCGGUGGAGAGGCUCAACGUGCGCAAUACCGAGCUGCAUCCUGCCAAAAUAUGAUGCACCUGCACUCAGCAUCCAGCAGGUGGUGGUGCUGCGCCUGCACUCAGCAUCCAGCAGGUGGUGGUGCUGCGCCUGCACUCAGCAUCCAGCAGGUGGUGGUGCUGCGCCUGCACUCAGCAUCCAGCAGGUGGUGGUGUUGCUCUAGACGUGUUCCCUCGUCCAUUCAAGUUUCUAUUUCUGCUAAUUCGUUGGAGAUGGCAGAUAUAGUCACAUUUUUAAAACAGGACUUUUAUAUUAUAUAUAUUAUCUAUAGAAGGAUGGUUGAAUACGACUUCCGUAAUAAUUUGUUUCAUAUGGUUGAUGAUGACGGUUUGUCUCUGCAUAUAUUAAAAAUGCACAUAUUACUCAG